AUGAAAAACUGGCUUGAAUCAUAUCAAGCCAGCUUUUAGAAAGUUUUAGGGGAAGAAUUGAAAAUAAAUAAGACUAUUUGGGUACAAUAUAUGCAUUUGUCAAUCUCUUUUUAAUGAGGCAUAAGUAGAACAGAUGAGGACCGUACAAAAGUGACCAACAUAUAACAAAAUAAGGACGCAUCAUAUAUAUGCGAUACCGAGG
Pelobates cultripes (western spadefoot toad) is the source of this 202-nucleotide non-coding RNA. Lineage: Eukaryota; Metazoa; Chordata; Amphibia; Anura; Pelobatidae. The record is from the annotation of a GenBank genome assembly.